GUUGGAUUUUGUGUUCUGAUUUUAACGUUGGCAAUGUUGCUAAGAUAUCUUAAAAACCAACAACUGUACCCUAACAAACAUGUAUGAUUGAAUUAGCUUUUAUCUUAGAAUGUUUAGAAGUUUGUUACUGACUAAUUGAUGCUUCUUUCCCUAAUUUUCUCUGAAAAUUUUCUGAGCAAAGUGGCUUUGUGAUACUAAUUGAUUCCCUAGCAUUUCAUUUCAGACGUUUGACUGGUUCUUUUUGUGUUUGUAAAAAGGUCCCAGGC
RNAcentral lists this unclassified non-coding RNA (266 nucleotides) under Hevea brasiliensis (rubber tree). Lineage: Eukaryota; Viridiplantae; Streptophyta; Magnoliopsida; Malpighiales; Euphorbiaceae. The record is from RNAcentral.